Macadamia integrifolia is the source of this 2147-nucleotide RNA transcript. It is a transcript of the gene named zinc finger CCCH domain-containing protein 13, with no coding region annotated. The record is from RefSeq and is a predicted model, not a curated record. The transcript has 5 exons. NCBI's taxonomy places the organism in Eukaryota, Viridiplantae, Streptophyta, Magnoliopsida, Proteales, Proteaceae.
CUUCCCCUUUUUUUCUAUAUCGUAAGUUCUUAACCAUCAUAAGCUCUGAGAAGUAAUAGACUCCCGCCCUUUGUGGAUUUCUAGGGUUUAAUAUCACAUUUGUGGAUUUCUAGGGUUUAUUCGCUGAGGCGGUCAACUCACUUCUUUUCGAGGACAGAUGGUUUAUGACUGCGCUCGGAUCAAUUCUGUAAUUCGUUAUAUGUCUCUUUGACGUCAAUUGAUUGCGUAUAAUUUAGGCUGCGUUUAUUUAUCUGCUUCGAGAUUAUUGAUUUCUAAAUCCAAGGGCUUGUUUUCGUUUACGAUGCUUGAACGGAAGCUCUACAAAACCAAGCUUUGCAUACUUUAUCAGAGAGGCCGCUGUCCCCGUGAAAGCUGCUCAUUUGCCCAUGGCGAUGCGGAGCUUAGGCGGCUUUCUGGUUCCUUCAUUGUAAGUUCUGCAGUACAUGUUAUGGUGGAGCACAUGGUAUUGACAUCAUCUAUGAGUCCUCAGUCCUCCUUGAGUAAUAUGGGAAAGGAUUUCUUUGAUGGUGAUAUAGCACAGAUGAUUACCAUUGGAAGAUGUGGUCUUGGAGGGCCAAAUUUUAUUGGAUGGGAGAUGCCUUUAUAUAUUAUAUGUAGUUUAUGGCGCUGGGAAGAAAUCUGUACCAUUCAGGUUUCAUUGUUUUUCUUAUUGCUCAAGAAGGCAGGCGUAUCAUCCAUCCUUAUUAUAUGCUUCUUUGAUAUUCAAAGGGUUUUCUCAAUGGUAUGAUCAAACACAGUUAUAGACAUAUCAAUGUAUUUUUAUGAGAGCGUUUAUUUCCAUGGCCCCUUUGGAACUGGCAAGGAGACACUGUUACUGUUCAUUAUUUUCUCAUAUUGCUCCAUGUGAUGGUCGGAGGGACUAUGUAGAUAGUGAUUUGAGGGAUAAGCUUGACAGAAGGCAUUCUCCCCAGCGAAGAUACUCCCCAAGGAGAGAUGCAAGAGGCCAUCAAACAUUUCGGAGUCAGAAACGUGUUCCCUAUAAUAGGGGAUACAGUCAGUCAAGAUCCCCCUCUGAAAGGAGGUAAACAACUUUUAAGUCCUUGAAAUUCUUCUUUCUGUUAUACAUUCAUGUAAAAUAGAUAUUCUUUUGGCCAUUGUUUUCCCAAACUCCCAAACCACUCCAUGAAAGAUACCUAUUGAAUGGCUGAUGAUAAUAUUUUGUCCAUUGUUCCCCAAACCAUCCAAUGGGAAAGAUACCUUUGCUUGUACUUCAAUGAUUUUUUUUUUUUUUUGGGGGUGGGAGAGGGGGUCGGGGUGGUUCUGCUUGAAAGAUGAAACAUGGCUGACUCCAACUUCACUUUGUUCAUGGUUAUCUAGGGCACUUUUUUGUCACUUGUUUGGAGUGAUUUUGAGGAAAUUUUGAUUCCCUGGAGUGGUUCUGCCUAAAAUUUGGUUUGGCACAAAUUCUGUUCUUUGUAGUGGUGCUUUGAUCUUUUUUCCUCUUUUGGAGUGGUUUUGUUCGAACAAAAAAUUUCUCAUUCUAGGAAACCAUCUGUUAUUUUUCCUGGGGGUCGGAGCAUUUACUGCAAGUACUUGUUUUCUACGACAGUCACUUGUAAGAAUUGAUUUAAAUGUUUUUUAGAAAAGCCAUGAUGAAAAACCAGAAGUGAUACUGAAUGCAGGUUACAGUUACCACUUACCAAUGAACUAUCAGUAUUUCCAUGUAAGAUUCUUGAAGAUUUUGGAAGGAACUGGAAUGGUUCUUGGUUGUUUGCAUUUAGCGAUUGAUUUGUUUAUAAAUGUUCAUUAACUCAUUUGAAUCCAAUUUUUUGUUAUUAUUAUUAUUAUUAUUAUUAUUUUAGGUUUCUUGUAAUAAAUAGUGUUUUAAAAAGGGCAAGUAGGAUGUUAUCACAAAUGAAAAAAAAAGUGCAGUGCUACAAACAAACAAAAUUCACAAGGCCAUUGCCUGUUGGUGGUAUACAUGUAAUUCUUCAUGGCUUUCCAGCAGACAUGUGGAAAGGAGUUUGAUACAUGUUGAGGAUUUAAUUCCACAUUGUUGACGUAGCUUGGGAUGAAAAUUUCAUAACCUUACCAUCGUGUUGUAAGGUGGGUUAUGAAAAAUUAUGUUGAAUUAUCAGAGACAAUUGAUACAAGAAACAGAAUGUAAAGAUUCUAGAGGCUGAAAA